GUUUUCAAUGCAAAAUCACCGUCCCAUUCUGACCAACCUGCUGGAUCAAUAUGGUCUCCAAUGUUGGACUGCAUGUACACUGUCCUCGAGUACGCUUUCCAUGGUCUGCCCAAAUAUGUCUUCACGGACCCUUUUACUGGUGCAAGGUCCGAGCUAGGAAUAAUGUCACAAUUCUGGAUUGAAGUUCCUGUAUUUUGGUUUGGAUCUUCGCGACCUUGUGCUGUAACCAUGUUUUUCUGUCCGCUCAUGGGCUUUCGCGCUGCCAGUUUAGAGUUUUGGAACACAACUGCUGCGUUACCAAAGAUAAAAUCGACAGUGCCAAUGAUGUAACAAUCUCUGUAGAAUUGACGGAGAGUGUGGGUAUAGAGAGUGUCCUGGAAUGCAUCCAUUUUGCAACGGUUGAUAACGGACUGAUCUGCUCCAACACGAAGGGCCACUGCUUGGUGCUUUUGUGGCCCUGCUGUGUUUUGGAAUUGUAUAUCUUGGGCUAUGAAUCCAUCCCCAACAGCAGCUGCAUUUAACAAAGUAAACAACUUCAUCAAUUUUUCAAAACACAUCUUCAUGUCAAAAUCCAAGCCUCUUUGUCAGACCAAAAAAGAUAAGUCAAAAGAGUAUAGUGAGAAAUGAGAUAUUUACCAACAGUUGCAGAUUUGAAAGUUGUUGAGCCAUCAAUAACAUUCAAGUUUCCAGUGAUAAUAGUUGCAUCCAUGCCAUCACCCACAAGCAUUAUAUUCUUCUUCUUUUUCCCAAUCUCAACAUUUUCUUUAUAAGUUCCUUUUUUGACAUAAAUAACAUAUCGAGUCUUACUAUUAUCUGGAGCAGAAGCAACUGCUUCUUUUACGGUUUUGUAUUUUCCACUGCCAUCUUUAGCCACUACAACAUUGGCUGCUAUUGCAUUUGCUGAAAGUUGCAAAAGUCUUCUAUCAUUAGCACUAACCCAUGAGGGCAAUCCAUCACUAACUGUUGGUACAAUAUUCUUUUGUGGUGCAAUUGCAACCAUCAAGGCCAAGGAAGUCCUUGCUCUUGCUACCAAAUCAUUCAACAUAGGCUCCAUAAUAGACCGGACCUGGCCAUUUAGGCCAUCUAUGCAAGUAACAUGGUUGGUGAGAAUGCUACUUAGCCAUGAAUGAACAUCAAAAUGGGCUUGGACCGUUAGGUUCCCAAGUCCCACCAUGGAGUCCAUUAAUCUAUCCCUUGACAAAUCCAUCAACUCUAAACAAUCUUCUAGAGCUACUUGUUCCUGGCCAUUAUUGAUCCGACCAUUCACAUUGCUCGCCAAAUGGAUCGUCUCGUGGAUUUUUAACGAUGAUUUAUGCAAAACCAUCUGUAGCAAAUCAACUGUUUUUGUAUCCAUCAGACCAGCAGGUGCAACCUCAGACAGCAUGGCUAAGCAAGAUGGCUGAUCAUGGGCCGUAUCACAAACACGAGUUGUCAAGGAAAUUGAUGUACGAUUGAUGGCCCAGAUUGAAAUGAAUCCAACUGAGCCCACAAUAGCAGCUAAGGAGAGAAGCACAUAGAGAGCUUUAGUAGAAGAGGAAGAUUUUGUUUGGGAGAAUCUAACAAUGGUUGAGAGGAAGUAGCCAUGACCUUGUGAAAAUAUGGAGUGAGACUUCAGUUUGCUAUGGAUCUUCUCAUUUCUCGUCUUAUUAUAUAGACUCAAAAAACACCAAUAAUGUUCCAUAUAUAAAUUAAAACACUAUUAUUUAAUAAAGCUACUUUAAUUUACUUUAUUAGGUGGUCUGGAAAGAUUCAGGUAUUAUAUUAUAUUAUCAAUGUUUCUUUUCAUGGCGAAGUAGGUAUGGUUAAUCCAUAUGCUAGUGUAGGUAGUUUUUUAUUUAAAUUAUUAAUUAUGCUCAACCAGCAAAAAUAUAGUACGAUUGAAUUUGUUAUAAGGUCAAAGACAUAACAUUUCAAUUUAACUCAUCGAUAGGUAUAUUAGCAGUUAAAUAUAAUGAAGUAGAGUGCAAACGGUCUUAGAUGUGUGGGUAGAUUGAUACGGAAAUGAUCGACAACGAAGACUUAGUAAAAUAUAAAUAGCUUGAACUAAGAAUAUCGUUAUAUUGUUUAGAAUUCAAUCCUUUACAUGUAUAUCAAUACUACUAUUUCAUUAAUUGUUUGGCAAAUAAGGAUGCUAUAUUAACCAGUUGAAAAGCUUUCCUUUUUUUUUUCUUUUUUUGGAGGGAAAGGAUAUAUUAUAAUGUAUAUAUAAGUUGAAAAGCUUUCGCUCAAGCCUUAAAAGUACUGAAAACAUCCCACAGAAAAGCUCUAUCUGAAAAUACUAUUACUCAUGCUAGCCGAUAAAUAGCAGGUUGUAAUCAAUUUAUAUCAGGUUAGAAAGUAAUAUUUAAAGAUGAAUAUAUAAUAAUCUUUUUAUAUCACGAGUACAUAUUUGAAAUCAUAAGAUGAAAUCAGCGUGAAAUUACAUAUCUAAAUGCUGAUUCUAUCUCACGAUACCAUAUAUCGCAUGAUCAAGCGCCUACUAAAUAUUAUUUCUCCACACAUACACAGUACUUAGCAUUUAGAAAGCUCAAAUCUUGUUGUUGUUUUUUUAAAAUCAUAAUAAAGUGUCGGUGUAAUAGUAUAACAGCUACGUAAAACUAUACUAAUAAGUUGAGUAGAAUUAUUGCUCAAAGAUAAGAUAUUUAAAUUGGAUCCAAUUGGCCCUUAAAACAUUAAAGAGUCAUUUGUUUAAAGCAUAUAGAAAUUAAAAACCAGAAUCAAUUUGACCAAACCAUCAUCUAUAUAGCCAUGUAUUUUAACAAAUUUUUUCUAGUUAAAAGAGAGCAAUAUCCAUAACAGUUCUUUCCUUUUAUAAUAAACUUCAACUUGGAUAUUUUAAUGACCUGUCUGUCUUUAUUCCUUUUGUUUGAUUGAUAUACUAUAUAUAUAACUGGUCUUUUUAUUUGUUCACCUUAGCAAAUUAAUCAAAAGAAUUAAUGCAAUCUUUUAACUUUAAUGUUUUACGUGAUAUGUUUAAGGUCAUAAGAUUAAAGAUGUUUUGAUAUAUUUGAGAUAAUUUUAAUUAAAAACUACAAUAUUAAAAAGUCUUCAUUCUUUUCUUAGAUUCCAUAACAAGUCAAACAUAGUCAUUUCUUUUAAAACGAAGGAAAUAUAAUGAUUGGUUCAUGUUUUUCUUUUUCUGAUAACUAAUACAUUAUAAGUAAUGAAGGAAUGUCUACGUAUUAUCUCAUGUAGUAGUAGAAAGAUCGAAUAAUUAAUAUUUCUAAUCUCUGGAUAGUUAAUGUCUGUAUAAUUACGAAGAUGUAUAAAUUUUUAUAUUAUCUCUUUGUUCAUAUUUACUUGUCUAUCAUAUUAAAAAUAAUUAUUCAAUAAUAUUUUUCUAGUUCAAUAAAUCAAGAGAUAAUUUACCUUUUUAUGCUUGUUUUACCAUUCUAUUAAAUGUCACUCAACAUCUAAUAUAUAUAUUUUUAAAGUAUUAAAUUUAACAUAUUCAAAAGAUAAUACAGUAACAUUUUCUUUUUCUAUUAGUAUUUCUUAAAUAUAUGUCAAGUCAAGAAGGAACAACUCUUUAAUAAGAAGGAGUACCAAAUUUGCAUACUCUAGAAACAACUAAACAAUCCCAAAACUUGAGUCGAUCAUGGUCUAUUGAAAAAGGUUUUUCACUUUCACAUUAUAAGAAUUUGUUUAAGUACACAUCAUUACUCUUUGACUUCAUUUAUCUAAUUAGAUUAGAGGUGUUAUUGUUGUUUUAGAAUCAUAAAUAUGGAAUAAUAUUUGUUUUUGUUUUUGAAAUUGGUUGGGUUGUGUUGUAUAAUGUGAAGUUUUUUAAGUACCUCUGGUACUUAUUUUUUUAAUUUUUCUCAGUACACAUUUUGAUAAAAGUCAUGUGUCAUACUUAAAAAUUAAAGGUGGAAAUUUAUAAAUGAAAGUCAUGUGUCAUACUUAAAUCUCUAUCUUUAGUUUUUAAAUAGGGAAAAAACUCAAAUAUGUCAUCGAAUUUUUAGAAAAGGCUCAUUUAUGUCAUUCGUUAGAAGUUUGGCUCAUUUAUGCCACUGUUGUUAAAUAAAAGGUUCAUUCAUGCCAUUUUUUUAACUCCGAUUUUGCAAAACCAUUUUUUACACACCAAACAAGGUUUAAUACUUUUGCGUGGGCGUUUUUGGAUCAAAUGUAUACUUUUUGUUUGUUUUUCUUUAAAAAUAUCAAGAACACAUGAAGAACAUAAAUAACUCCCAAAUUUUCAACAUCUUCAAUUCUUCACGAAAUCAUCUAAAAUUUCGGCUACUUCAUUAAUUCUUUUUUUAAAAAAAAUAAAAUCUGACAUCAUCUGCAGAGUUCAAAAAAUUCACCCAUAUUUAAAAAAUAUAUUCCAAGAAAACGAAAAUUAGUCCCAAAAUUUCAAAUUUUUCUUUGAUUCUUGUUUUUGUAGUUUUUAUAUUAGAUCUUUGUUGACUAGUAUUUUUUGAGUUUAUGUUCAAAAUUUCAAAUGAUUUGAAGUUGUGGAGAAUCUACAAUUAAAGAAUGUUGAAGUUUUGAAACUUUGAAGAAAUUUCAAUUGGGUCUUGUGGAGUUAUGUUGAAUUCGAGCUCAAAAGAAAUUGAGUUUUGAUAUCUUGCUCGUAGUGAAACUACUCUUGAAAUUUUUUGAGGCGAUUCGUGAAAAAUUAAAUAAAUUGAAAUUUGGGAUUUGUUAAUGUUCUUAUGUGUUCUUAGCAGUGAUGUAAAAGCAAAAAGUAUACAUUUGAUUCAAAAACACCAAUAGAAAAGUUCUAAACCUUGUUUGGUAUGUAAAAAGUGGUUUUACAAAAUCGGAGUUACAAAAAUGGCAUAUAUGAGCUUUUUAUUUAACAAUAAUUACAUAAAUAAGUCAAACUUUAACGAAUGACAUAAAUGAACUUUUUUUAAAAAUUCGAUAACAUAUUUGAGCCUUUUCCCUUUUAAAUAUGACACAUGACUUUCGUCCAAAUGUUUACUUAGGGAAAAGGAGAGAAUUAAUAAUGGAACGAAUUUAACUCCUCUCCAUUAUUUAUUGUCUAUUGCGACAAACGCUUGUCAGAAAGUCUUUGGGUUACAUCAAAAUUAAGAAAAAGAGAGAUUUUCAGUUUUUUUAAUACCUUUAAUACUUUAUUUUUUAUAUUAACAUAUUUAAUACGACGAAUUACUUAUUAUUGUAAUGUAAAUUCAAUAUAUAUAAUAAUAUAUAAAUAAUUUACAUUGUUAACCCACAAACAUCAACUUGUUCUUAAAUAGUGUCAAAAUAAUUUUAAAGAAUUACUCGGUUUACGAUAUAUCUAUAAAUAUUCCCUUAAUUGGUGGCUUUCAUGAUCACUUAAAUGGGUUGUUGGGCACUAAAAACGACCUCUCAUGCAUGUUUUUUUUUUAAAAGAUCUAAUAAAUGAAAACUAAAGUGAUUCAUGUUGCAUUAUUUUUUUCUAUCAAUAAUGGCGACAAGAAAACAUGCUCUUCCAAAAGAAUACUUUGCUUUAGCAGAAAAUAAAUUUGUACGGAAUAUAUGAUUUAUUUUAGGCGAUCAAUUCCAAAUUUGAAAAGUGGUACGAGGAAUAUGAUUGAACUUUAAUUGGUGUUAAGAGUGUCAUCAAAAUAAGCAGAGUUAAUAAUGAAUUUAUCAUUAAUUCGUCCAAUAAAAUUAAAAAGAAAAAUGGUUUAGUUACACUUAAGUUUAUAGAUUUAGAAAAAAGAAAAUCACUUAUUAACUUUUAUGAAUAAAUUGGAUAACUAACUUAUUAACUUUUAUAAAUAAAUUGGAUAACUAACGCACUAGACAUAUGGAACGUGAACGACUAUAAAAUAUCUAUUUUUAGAAAGUAGCCUAAAAUAAACGACAAGAUCAUUCCUAUCCAUGAUAGACAUCACAACAAUGACUUCCUCUUUUAUAUAGUUAUAAUGAAUAAGAAAAAAAAAGUCACGUGGGCAAUUUGAUAUAUAUUGAUAUAUAUUGCUUACCUACCAACCUCAUCAAUGCAUCAGCAAGAAGAAAAUAAGAUUAUCGACUAGUUCCUGCUAUCAAUAAACAAUCCCAGUUUAUGUGAUUGGACAUCAAAUUUAAUACAGCAAUUUAAUUUAUCUAUCUACCUAUAUAUAUAUAUAUAUAUAUAUUGAAAAAACGAACGCGUGUUUAAACAGAAAACACCAAAUAUCUAAAUUUAAGUUUCAAAUUUGCGUUGUGACAAUCUGUGUUAAAUAUCCGUCUAAAAGAAUAUCAUUUUACUAUAAUUAAAAAAUAAUUUAUUUAAUUUUAAAAUAUUUUUUUUAUUCAUAAUGAAAUAGAGAGUCCGGAGAUAAAAGGGCAAAAAAAUUGUCAAAAACUUCGAAAGGGCAUAUCAAUUUUUUUUUAACCAAAAGAGCAAAAUCACUCCUGACGGAAUGAUUUUGUUCUGAUAAUUUUAUUUUAAUAUUGCUACGAGUGCAGCGUUUUUUUUAAAAAAUGAUUUAAAAUUGAAAUCGCUGCAGCGAUUUCUUUUUCAUUAAAAAAGUUAAUAGAAGCAUGCAGCAUUUUGAUUUGCCCCUGCAACAUUUGUUAAAUUUUUUUACCCUUUUAGUUUCCUCUACCUGCUAGAACUUAAUAUAAAAUUUAAAUGUAAUGAUGAUAAGUGAUGGGUUUUGUAAUUCCUAAUAUAAAUCUAGUGACCCUAGAGACAUUCUAAUAUGAAAGAAGAUAAAAUUGUUUUAAUAUUCACAGUAUUGGAAGCUCUCCUCUUUUCACAAAGAUGCAUAUUGAAAUCUAAGUAAUGUGAAUUAAUUUUAUAGAUUUUCUGUAAGGAAAAUAAUAGAUAUAUCGAGUUCCUAUGUUAGUCAUAAUAAAUGAAAGUAUUAAUGGGUUUAUGUAUACUUGAUUGAAGGAAUCCGAGGGCUAUAGAUGGAAUAUUUAACCAAACUAAGUCAUUAUAUAAAAUAAUUUAUCAAAGUAAUAUAUUUUUCUAAAAUUUUACAAAAUUAAUAUAAACGUAUUUCAUGGUAACGUUUUAGGGUAUAUUUUAUUUUUAAAAAAAACUAACAACAUUAGAUUGAUAUACGUUAGUGUAAGUAACGUUUUACUUUUAAAACGUUAUUUUCUGUAACGUUUUACUCCUAAAACGUUACUGUGAGUAACGUACAUCAAUCUGACGCCAUCAACUUUUAAAAAAUAAAAUAUAUCCUAAAACGUUACUGUAGAAUACGUUUAUACUAGUUUUGUAAAAUUUUAGAAAAAUAUAUUAUUUUGGUGAAUAACUUUAUAUAAGGACUUAGUUUGGUUAAAAUCCCGCCAUAGAUGAUAGAUUUUCUACUGUGAUGGCUGCUCUUAAUUCUCCCAACUUUAAACACUAUGGGAAUAAUAAUAAAGUAUUGUUUUUUUCUUGGAUAGUUUGGGACUUUAUCUGCAGCUUUAAUAUUUAUUUAGAAGAACAUAUCAUAACAUGAUUUUAUCCGAGUGGAAGUUAUAAAAUUGGUAAAUGUUAAGUACUCCACCGGGUGAAGUUUUUUUUUUCCACCUCGUAUUUCAUAUCAAGAUAUAUUAAAACCUAACAGAAUGUUCAAUAAUUUUUUUUAGAGUAAUACAUCAAUAAUCAUCUAAAGUUGGCAUAAAUUUUCACUUAAAUAUUUUAACUAAAUUUUGUUCAUUUUAGACACUUCAUGUCAUGUCUCGUUGUGUCAGUUUGAUACUUUUUGCUAAAAUGACAUAGUGAGUGAAAUACACUCACUACCAGUGUGUGAAAAGCUUAUUUAAUUCUUUUUAUUUUAUUUUUUCGUCCUUUUCUUCAUUUUUUAAGUAUCAUCUCCCAAAACUUGAACUCCUUCCAUGAAAAAGUAGAUAUGACGGUGUUAAUUAGUUAAAACAAAUACAACCAACAUUAUAGUAGAGAAAAACAAUUGAAAAAGAUUAAAGAAAAGAGUAUUGUGUCUUAAAUGAAGAACUAAUCAUAAAUUUGAAAGAAAGAAUUUCACCAAGAAAACGAGUUGGGUAAUGGAGACAAGGGAGUUCUGGUGGUGGGGCUGAUGAGGAAGAUGGUUAGGGAAUCGGGUGGGGGUGGGGGUGGGGGUGGGCUUUGGGAGAGGGAAGCUGGAGAAGAUGAUAUAUAUGAUAAGACUGUUUUUUUUAAUUUUUUAGGCUUUAAAAAUAACAAAUGUCAUUUGAGUGAUUGUCCUUUUUCUACAUAAAAAAUUCAUGAGUGAUUGUCCUUUUUCUACAUAAAAAAUUCAUGAGUGAUUGUCCUUUUUCUACAUAAAAAAUUCAUUAAUUAAAAAUUAUUUUUGACAUAUAUGUGACAAGUAUUUAUUUAAAUCGUUAUGUGUAAAAUGGGUAAAAUCUAAUUAAAGUAUCUAAGUAAAAUUUUGUAACAAAUUUAGGUGACCAUCGAAUGAUUAGGCCUUAUUUUUAAUAAUGAUGGUGUCUAAGUAAAACUUAAUGAUGAAUUGCUUUUAGUAAGUCUAAACGUUUUCCUCGAAAUUGCAUUAUCGCAGAAUGACAUAUUUCGCCUCAACUAAGGAUAGUACCAUCAGAUGAAAUUGCAUUAUGCUGAUUGCUUUGUAAUAUUGAGCAACAUUUAUUCAAUUUGCAGUCGCUAUUAGUUAGUACAUGCAAGUCUAAAAAAUUUAAUUUAUGCCUUCGUAUUGUGGCCUGGUUCAGUCAUCAGUACCACAACAAAGCAGCAUAUUAUUAUUAUCAUCACAGAACAAGCAUACAAAAAAAAGCAACCAAAACAUACUAAAACUUCACUAGCAAUACAUAUUUUAAAUCAAACAAGUUCCUCACAACCCAUCAGUGUAAGCGACACCAGUAGAUUUUAACCAUGCUGCUCCUUGAAUCAGCUGACCCACAGUGAAUUUCGCGGCCUCUGAUUUAGUCAAGGCUUUAUGAUAACCAGGCCAGUUCACUCUCUUACUAGUUCCAGCACCAGCUCCUCUGUUCAUGUACUCACCAUAAUACAAUGUUUUCAAUGCAAAAUCACCGCUCCAUUCUGACCAACCUGCUGGAUCAAUAUGGUCUCCAAUGUUGGACUGCAUAUACACGGUCCGUGAAUACGCUUUCCAUGGUCUGCCCAAAUAUGUCUUCACCGACCGUUUUACUGGUGCAAGGUCCGAGCUAGGAAUAAUGUCGCAAUUCUGGAUUGAAGUUCCUGUAUUUUGGUUUGGAUCUUCACGACCUUGUGCUGUAACCAUGUUUUUCUGUCCGCUCAUGGGCUUUCGGGCUGCCAGUUUAGAGUUUUGGAACACAACUGCUGCGUUACCAAAGAUAAAAUCGACAGUGCCAGUGAUGUAACAAUCUCUGUAGAAUUGACGGAGAGUGUGGGUAUAGAGAGUGUCCUGGAAUGCAUCCAUUUUGCAACGGUUGAUAACGGACUGAUCUGCUCCAACACGAAGGGCCACUGCUUGGUGCUUUUGUGGCCCUGCUGUGUUUUGGAAUUGUAUAUCUUGGGCUAUGAAUCCAUCCCCAACAGCAGCUGCAU
Molecule: long non-coding RNA, 9403 nt
Filed under: Solanum lycopersicum (tomato)
Lineage: Eukaryota; Viridiplantae; Streptophyta; Magnoliopsida; Solanales; Solanaceae
Description: long non-coding RNA (SLYC_LNC001200)
Source: RNAcentral